GAUGAACGCUGGCGGCGUGCCUAAUACAUGCAAGUCGAGCGAACAGAUGAGAAGCUUGCUUCUCUGAUGUUAGCGGCGGACGGGUGAGUAACACGUGGGUAACCUACCUAUAAGACUGGGAUAACUCCGGGAAACCGGGGCUAAUACCGGAUAAUAUUUUGAACCGCAUGGUUCAAUAGUGAAAGACGGUUUCGGCUGUCACUUAUAGAUGGACCCGCGCCGUAUUAGCUAGUUGGUAAGGUAACGGCUUACCAAGGCGACGAUACGUAGCCGACCUGAGAGGGUGAUCGGCCACACUGGAACUGAGACACGGUCCAGACUCCUACGGGAGGCAGCAGUAGGGAAUCUUCCGCAAUGGGCGAAAGCCUGACGGAGCAACGCCGCGUGAGUGAUGAAGGUCUUCGGAUCGUAAAACUCUGUUGUUAGGGAAGAACAAAUUUGUUAGUAACUGAACAAGUCUUGACGGUACCUAACCAGAAAGCCACGGCUAACUACGUGCCAGCAGCCGCGGUAAUACGUAGGUGGCAAGCGUUAUCCGGAAUUAUUGGGCGUAAAGCGCGCGUAGGCGGUUUCUUAAGUCUGAUGUGAAAGCCCACGGCUCAACCGUGGAGGGUCAUUGGAAACUGGGAAACUUGAGUGCAGAAGAGGAGAGUGGAAUUCCAUGUGUAGCGGUGAAAUGCGCAGAGAUAUGGAGGAACACCAGUGGCGAAGGCGGCUCUCUGGUCUGUAACUGACGCUGAUGUGCGAAAGCGUGGGGAUCAAACAGGAUUAGAUACCCUGGUAGUCCACGCCGUAAACGAUGAGUGCUAAGUGUUAGGGGGUUUCCGCCCCUUAGUGCUGCAGCUAACGCAUUAAGCACUCCGCCUGGGGAGUACGACCGCAAGGUUGAAACUCAAAGGAAUUGACGGGGACCCGCACAAGCGGUGGAGCAUGUGGUUUAAUUCGAAGCAACGCGAAGAACCUUACCAAAUCUUGACAUCCUUUGACCGCUCUAGAGAUAGAGUCUUCCCCUUCGGGGGACAAAGUGACAGGUGGUGCAUGGUUGUCGUCAGCUCGUGUCGUGAGAUGUUGGGUUAAGUCCCGCAACGAGCGCAACCCUUAAGCUUAGUUGCCAUCAUUAAGUUGGGCACUCUAGGUUGACUGCCGGUGACAAACCGGAGGAAGGUGGGGAUGACGUCAAAUCAUCAUGCCCCUUAUGAUUUGGGCUACACACGUGCUACAAUGGAUAAUACAAAGGGCAGCGAAUCCGCGAGGCCAAGCAAACCCCAUAAAAUUAUUCUCAGUUCGGAUUGUAGUCUGCAACUCGACUACAUGAAGCUGGAAUCGCUAGUAAUCGUAGAUCAGCAUGCUACGGUGAAUACGUUCCCGGGUCU
This 1373-nucleotide ribosomal RNA is filed under the name uncultured bacterium. RNAcentral's name for it is "bacterial SSU rRNA". It matches the Rfam family "Bacterial small subunit ribosomal RNA", at positions 28 to 1381 of the family's 1533-position model. The record is from RNAcentral.